UAUAUGCCCGUGUGUAUAAAUGCACUCCC
RNAcentral lists this non-coding RNA (29 nucleotides) under Rattus norvegicus (Norway rat). Lineage: Eukaryota; Metazoa; Chordata; Mammalia; Rodentia; Muridae. The record is from RNAcentral.